Molecule: ribosomal RNA, 254 nt
Filed under: uncultured bacterium
Lineage: Bacteria
Description: partial 16S ribosomal RNA
Rfam family: Bacterial small subunit ribosomal RNA
Source: RNAcentral
UACGUAGGCAGCAAGCGUUGUUCGGAAUUACUGGGCGUAAAGGGCGCGUAGGCGGCCACCGCAAGUCGACUGUGAAAUCUCCGGGCUUAACCCGGAACGGUCAGCCGAUACUGCGGGGCUAGAGUGCAGAAGGGGCAACUGGAAUUCUCGGUGUAGCGGUGAAAUGCGUAGAUAUCGAGAGGAACACCUGCGGCGAAGGCGGGUUGCUGGGCUGACACUGACGCUGAUGCGCGAAAGCUAGGGGAGCGAACGGG